Molecule: non-coding RNA, 4248 nt
Organism: Microcebus murinus (gray mouse lemur)
Lineage: Eukaryota; Metazoa; Chordata; Mammalia; Primates; Cheirogaleidae
Source: RefSeq, a predicted model, not a curated record
UUGUGAGACCCUGUCUUUAAAAACAAAAAAGAAAAAAAAAAUGUCUAAAGUUACCCUUGGGGGUUGUAUUCUUUACCAAAAACUUGGUGUUAGAUACACUGUAUAGACUUAGCAAUAUGUUAUAAAAGCGAAGAAGUAUUACUGCAAGAGUCUACUAUGAUGUAAAUUGCUCAAGAUUGUGACCCAUGCUCUUUAAAUGCUCAUAAAUCAGCAUGCACAUUCAUUAAACAAUAUUUUAUAGGUACACACAAUAAUAUAAUAUCACGCUACAUAUUACAAAUUGGAUCUAAAACAAGUUCAUUGGCUAUUUUAGUACUAAACCUUAAAUGGGCAGCAGUUUUGUUUGCUCCGGACUUAGAACAUAAGAACAAAAUUCAGGACAACCUGAAUAGCUCAGAUUUUUUGAAAAACCUCUUAUCUUCUUUGAACAGCUUCCUUUGCUCCAAUUAAACUUCUCAGUAGCAACUGGAAGCCAUCAGAAUGAUUCCCUAGACCUUAAAGCUACGUCAAAGUACUGUAAUUUGUCUACUUGACAGUUUAUCAGCUAGAUCAUAGCAGUAAUUCAAGAAAGACGUACUGACUUCCAUUAUGUUUUAGGCAUUAUGCUAGGAACUUUAUGCAUAUCAUUUUGUUUGAUUUUAACAGCAACUCCACGAAAUAAGUUAUAACAAUAAAUCAUCAUUUUAGAUAUUGAGAAACCACAGAAAGAAAAGUAAAAUAAUUUACUUUUCCAAGGCCACAUCAAUGGCGAAACCAGAAUUUGAACCCAUGUACUUUACCAUUGAGCUGCCUGCCUGUCCUCUAAGGAACUGCUGAGCCUGUUACAUAGAGAGACUUGACGGUGUAUAGAUAGCCGCUUCAAGAGAGAAAAAAGGCAGGAUGAUGUGGUGCAGAGGUUUUAAACCAGGCAUCUGUACAAGAAUUGAAAGGUGGAACUAUUGCAUUGUAUUUAUUGAGUAUGGGUAUUCGAUCUCCCUACUCCACACACUAGCCAAGGUGAUAAAAGGGUCUAUGAUGAGGGAUUAGGAAAUAUCUGCUAUGUUUAUUUCCUAACCAAAUCACAAGAUUAACAUCUGCCUCUUCUUUCUCUUACAUCUAGUUUUCCUUUGGAUGAGAAAAAUGAGCCUCAUUCUGCUUCAAUGGCAGAGAUCAAAUAAAAGACUUUUGUUUUUUUGCCACCAGAUAUGUUGUUAUCUGUGCUUACAGAACUGAAAAGCACACAUCAAAGGAGCAUUCCCUUGAAGAGACAGCUUGGGCAUUGUACCCCGUUCACUACUGUUGGCAACUCCAUGCUUCCAAGAACUAGUGAGCUGAAGAAUUUAGCACUUCUAAUAGAUUAACCAAGCAAAAACUAUGAAUUGAAGGAAAAGGGAACACAGAGAAGCAACCUGGUUUGGUCAAAGGCCUUGCAGUUGGUUAGAGAUAGAACUGGGGUGUUCUGACCCAUUUCCAGUUUUUCGUCCUCUGUACUGCUCUGCUAGCUGUGGAAGUGAAAUGUGCUGUAACUUGGCUGCCAAAGAAAUCCCAGCUGAAAGGUAACCAAAGGAGAGGAGUGUUUUGAAGCAGCAUGGCUGAAAUCCAGUUAAAAGUUAAAAUCGUACUGGGCAAUUUCUCCUUAAUUGACAACAGGAAUUGCUGUCACUGCCCUGUCUAAACACUUUGUAAAUGGCAGGGAUGAUAGCAAGAGCUCGUGGUGAAUACUUCCUAUAGGAGCAAAGAUUGCUUUGGCUGGAUUCUGCUGCAGCAGUGUUCUGGCGGUGAAGAGUCUGUAGUAAGACAGUUGGAGGCAGUAACUGUUUUCUAACAACCACCUCAGGUGGUUUUGGCACCUAAUUCUUUGGCACUGUCUAGGGAAGCUCUUUAUGCGAGUUCAUGCUACUUGUCAAGUCUACCUGCGUAUCUAAUUUUGCUGGGGAAUCUGAUACUGCCCUUCAAAUAUUAUAGUUCACCUCAGUGGAACCCAGUGUUUGCCCUGCACAGUGUUCAAGGAGUCCUAUCGUCUCUGACAAGCAAACAGCAAAGACAGGUUUUAAAAAACGGCCCCUGUUUUUGCAGCUCUUCCAUCUUGGUUCCGUGGUGUUUGAAAUCAGAAUGUGGUCUUGAGUUAAUGACACAAGGAAACACUUGGAUGCUUGUAUUGUCUACUUGGUUUUCAUGAACCUCAUAUGGACUGGCUUUAUCCUGUUUCAGAGUCCACAGCUCUGUAUUUUCCUCUCCACUUCCUGUGCAGGCCUUCCUCUGGUUUGUGGGCUGCGCACUUCAUCUUGCUCCUUUAAGGGGCACACCCAAGCUGAGGGCGAAAGAGACUUUUUACAGCUUCUGCUACCUGCUUAUCAUCCAAUCCCAAUCUCAGGUUUUCUUUCCCUAUUUUAAAAACCUGAAUAGCUCUUUUCCCACUUGUCUAUAACUUUUUCUUUCAAUUCUCUGCUCUUCACAGUAAUUAAACUGGAGUUUGGCAGCCUCCUCCUACUGGAACUGAUGACUUAUUCUGGAGGGUUAGUUAAUAAGUCAUGAAGAUCAAGUCUUCAUAUAGGGAAGUAUGAAAGCUUGGUGCAGGUGAAUACUAAAGAAGACCCCAAAUUUCAAGGAAGGUUGGAGAUUUCUGUGGAGACCUCCAAAAAUGCUUCCUUUAUCCAGAACUACCUUCCAGCUGACAUCUUCCUACCACUCUCCUCCUUCCCAGUGUAAGAGAAUGCAAAUAUGUACUGAUGUUUGAAGCAAGAACAUUCAAGAAUUUUCCUAAUAAUAUAACUUCUAAUGGAAAUAUGGUAUACUGGUAUGGAGACUAUAAAGAAGAAAUAAAGCAACACAUGUUCAUUUUAGACCUGAUAGCUGCCUUUUAUUCCUUAGCCCCUCCUUGAUGUCUUGUAGACUGUCAUUAGCUAAUUGUCAUAGUGACCAAAAGAAAAAAUAAGGAUUUUUAGCUGGUACAUACAUAACAGAAGAGGAGAUGGUUUAGUAAACAAGCACAGACUUUGGAAUCAGGCAGCUCUGGAUUUGAAAACAAAGUUAAAGCACGACUAGCUAUAUGACCUGGGAUAAACUACUACUUACCUUUUUUGAGACUGAGGUUCCUAAUUUGUAAAAUGGAAAUAAUAAUCAAACAUUAGCUAGCAUUCAUUGUGCACAUGCUAUAUGCUGGUGAUAAAUAAUUUAUACACCCUGUACCAUUUAAUCCUUAUAACAGUCCUGUGAGUUAGAAACUAUUAUUUCCAUUUUGCAGGUAAAAAAAACAGAUGCUAUAGUUUGGUUUGUUUGACCCUUCCAAAUCUAAUGUUGAAAUUUGAUCCCCAAUGUUGACCUAAUGGGAGGUGUUGGGGUCAUGGGGGCAGAUCCCUCAUGAAAUAGCUUGGUGCCCCCCUCACAGUAAUGAGUGAGUUCUCACUCAAUUUGUUCCUUUGAGAGCUGACUGUUCAAAAGAGUCUGGCAUCUCCCCCCUGUCUCUUUUGCUUCCUCUUUUGCCAUGUGAUCUCUGCAUAUGCCGGCUCUGCUUCACCUUCCACAGUGAGUAGAGGCAGCCCGACACCCUCCCAGAAGCAGAUGCUGGCACCGUGCUUAUACAGCCCAUGGAACAAACCUCUUUUCUUUAUAAAUUACCCAGCUUCAGGUAUUCUUUACAGCAACACAAAUGGACUAAGAUGCCAGACAUAAGGAGAGAAGUUAAAUAACUUUCCCCAAGUCACACAGCUACUAUGUGAUGGGGCUGGAAUGUGAAUCCCUGUAGUUUGAUAGCAGAGUGUAUGCCCUCAGUCACUGUAACACUGGUCUACAAAUGUAAAACACACCAGGCACACAGGAGGUGCCCAGUAAGUGGUAUCUCCUGCCAAAUCAAACCUUAUAAACAAUCACUAGGUGAUGCUUAAAAGGCCACAAACAAUUUCUUAGGAUGGGUCACAGAUCUAAUAACUGUAACUGAUUAUGAGCCUACUUUGUGCCAGGUGCUUCCUUUUGUAGUAGUUCAAUCAUUAUUAAAGAAAGUUAUUAUUAUCUUUAUUUUUCUAGUGAGACAAUUGAGGUUCACAAAGGCUAAGAAAUUUGUUUAGGAUUACCUAAAUAUCAAAUGAUGGAACUGAGGCUCAAAUCUGGGUCUGUCCUACAUAAAAGGCUGUGCUCUUUCUGCUCUGCUGCCUGAAUGUUUUUCAUGAUUAAACAUAUUUAUUACUUAUGAGGUGUCCCUGCCACUUUAGUUUUUACAAAUGCAUUUAUUUAUUUUUACUAAGGCAUAGUUGGCAAAUAAAAAUUAUAUGU